Molecule: long non-coding RNA, 475 nt
Organism: Gossypium arboreum
Lineage: Eukaryota; Viridiplantae; Streptophyta; Magnoliopsida; Malvales; Malvaceae
Exons: 3
Source: RefSeq, a predicted model, not a curated record
AGCACAUUUUAGUUGGUUUUGGUAUUGAAAAUUUAAUGGAACAGCAAAACAUGGAACCAUGCACACCUUGUAUUUAUAAGUUUGGUAUUCAACAUGAUAUAAGAUCUGGUGUUAGGCACACUAAUAUUUUGUUAAGAGGACCAAUCUUACGAACUUUCGGCAUUAACUAUUUUACUUAUGGUUUUCCGGCAUGAUCAUGGGUGCAGCAGCUUCAACUAACAAGACUUGUACAGGUCUGGAGCAGGUCAAUCAAGAAGCUCUGCUGAAAUUAAACUGAUAAGUAAUUGUAGUAUACUUGUAGUUGAAGUUUCUUAUAGUGAACAUCAUGUUGUUUAUUCGACAGAAGUUUCAAAGAUUUUACUUUUUAGAAGAAAGUGUAUUGUAGUCAUUAGAUUGGGUUUUCAAAGAUUGGUUAUGUUAACAUUUUGAUCAAAUGAAAAGUUCUCUUAUUAAUGUUUUUGAACUAAAAAACAAU